AACGAACGCUGGCGGCAGGCCUAACACAUGCAAGUCGAGCGCGCCCUUCGGGGUGAGCGGCGGACGGGUGAGUAACGCGUGGGAACGUGCCCUUUUCUACGGAAUAGCCUCGGGAAACUGAGAGUAAUACCGUAUACGCCCUUUGGGGGAAAGAUUUAUCGGAAAAGGAUCGGCCCGCGUUGGAUUAGGUAGUUGGUGGGGUAAUGGCCUACCAAGCCGACGAUGCAUAGCUGGUUUGAGAGGAUGAUCAGCCACACUGGGACUGAGACACGGCCCAGACUCCUACGGGAGGCAGCAGUGGGGAAUCUUAGACAAUGGGGGCAACCCUGAUCUAGCCAUGCCGCGUGAGUGAUGAAGGCCUUAGGGUUGUAAAGCUCUUUCAGCUGGGAAGAUAAUGACGGUACCAGCAGAAGAAGCCCCGGCUAACUCCGUG
RNAcentral lists this ribosomal RNA (433 nucleotides) under uncultured bacterium. RNAcentral describes it as "partial 16S ribosomal RNA". It matches the Rfam family "Bacterial small subunit ribosomal RNA", at positions 29 to 507 of the family's 1533-position model. The record is from RNAcentral.